UCCCAAUUUCUUGGGAAUAAUCUUCGUUUGGAUGAUUUCACUGCACUCAUGACUCUCCAUAACCAUCCCUUGCACUUCCUUUAUUCUCUCCAUGAUCAAGUCUUUCAGAAACUUGUGGGAAUCCGGAAUAAGUGCGAGAGCAUCAACAAGAGGUAUCCUCAAUUCAACUUCUCUGAUGUUCUUGGCAAACAUAGCUCUGUACUUAUCUGCCAACGCUUUCUUGUGACGACCAGGAAAUGGAAGUGGGGGCUUGUAAGGAGGAGGAACAAAAACCUUCU
This 278-nucleotide long non-coding RNA is filed under the name Arabidopsis lyrata. RNAcentral describes it as "long non-coding RNA (ALYR_LNC000499)". The record is from RNAcentral. Lineage: Eukaryota; Viridiplantae; Streptophyta; Magnoliopsida; Brassicales; Brassicaceae.